UGCUAUCGUUGGGUUGCAACAACACGUUACACGUUAUCAAGCCACAAACCAAAUUAUAAAAAUGUGAUAGUCGUGUCAACUCUGCUGGCGUCCCUUUAUAUAGAAUCCAUGCUGUUUAGCAGGUCAAUAAAAGUGAGAAUACAAAUUGAAUGAUUAUGGGAGCUUAAAGAGUAAAAAGAGAAACCUGUUCCAAAGUUGUGUAAUGUUGGUUCCUGACUAGCAUUGAUCAUAUUUGAAGCCAAUCCAUGUCAGUUUUCUUGUGCUGGCAAAAUCACAUCAGCAGCAAUCACAGCAUCAUCGGCUGGAUAAACAGCAUCCAUGGCUUAUUCACGAGGACGGCCUUUCAACGGAUUGUCGAAAUGCCUGGCCGUGUAUUCCCGAGCUUAAAGAGCACAGCAGCAGCAGCAGCAGCAGCUUGAAACAGACAAAAAUAAAGUGGGCGGUCUUGUUUUUGUAUUUCGCUGUUGCUGGGAUGACGUCAAUCACGCAAGACCCCACUUGAGUGUCUCUGCGUUGAUCAAUCAACUAUGGCACAGCUUGCGCAGCCCAGCAGCAUGCACACAGCUUCACAUAGCGCCGACGAAUGGGAAAAAUAAGGACGACGAGAGCCUGGACGAAACAGAACGAUCACGAAAAUGGAGGAGUGUGCAGCCAACACACAAAAAAACAUGACGGGACCAGGUCCCGAGCAACAGCAGCAGCACAUUGCGGAAUCAGCCGCCCAGAAAUGAAAAGAUCCCCCCCACAUCACAGCCAUACCAGGAUAUACACAU
Long non-coding RNA from Daphnia pulex (common water flea), 773 nucleotides. RefSeq lists it as uncharacterized. NCBI's taxonomy places the organism in Eukaryota, Metazoa, Arthropoda, Branchiopoda, Diplostraca, Daphniidae. The record is from RefSeq and is a predicted model, not a curated record. The transcript is spliced from 4 exons.